RNAcentral lists this transfer RNA (69 nucleotides) under Nepenthes vieillardii. RNAcentral's name for it is "tRNA-Glu". Lineage: Eukaryota; Viridiplantae; Streptophyta; Magnoliopsida; Caryophyllales; Nepenthaceae. The record is from RNAcentral.
CCCCCAUCGUCUAGUGGUCAGGACAUCUCUCUUUCAGAGGCAGCGGGGAUUCGACUCCCCUGGGGGUAG